Molecule: ribosomal RNA, 728 nt
Filed under: Kosakonia sp.
Lineage: Bacteria; Pseudomonadati; Pseudomonadota; Gammaproteobacteria; Enterobacterales; Enterobacteriaceae
Description: partial 16S rRNA
Source: RNAcentral
CUGAGCGUCAGUCUUCGUCCAGGGGGCCGCCUUCGCCACCGGUAUUCCUCCAGAUCUCUACGCAUUUCACCGCUACACCUGGAAUUCUACCCCCCUCUACGAGACUCAAGCCUGCCAGUUUCGGAUGCAGUUCCCAGGUUGAGCCCGGGGAUUUCACAUCCGACUUGACAGACCGCCUGCGUGCGCUUUACGCCCAGUAAUUCCGAUUAACGCUUGCACCCUCCGUAUUACCGCGGCUGCUGGCACGGAGUUAGCCGGUGCUUCUUCUGCGGGUAACGUCAAUCGACGCGGUUAUUAACCNCAUCGCCUUCCUCCCCGCUGAAAGUACUUUACAACCCGAAGGCCUUCUUCAUACACGCGGCAUGGCUGCAUCAGGCUUGCGCCCAUUGUGCAAUAUUCCCCACUGCUGCCUCCCGUAGGAGUCUGGACCGUGUCUCAGUUCCAGUGUGGCUGGUCAUCCUCUCAGACCAGCUAGGGAUCGUCGCCUAGGUGAGCCGUUACCCCACCUACUAGCUAAUCCCAUCUGGGCACAUCUGAUGGCAAGAGGCCCGAAGGUCCCCCUCUUUGGUCUUGCGACGUUAUGCGGUAUUAGCUACCGUUUCCAGUAGUUAUCCCCCUCCAUCAGGCAGUUUCCCAGACAUUACUCACCCGUCCGCCACUCGUCAGCNAAGCAGCAAGCUGCUUCCUGUUACCGUUCGACUUGCAUGUGUUAGGCCUGCCGCCAGCGU